This 607-nucleotide ribosomal RNA is filed under the name Aureobasidium sp. Its description in RNAcentral is "partial large subunit ribosomal RNA". It matches the Rfam family "Eukaryotic large subunit ribosomal RNA", at positions 49 to 671 of the family's 3401-position model. The record is from RNAcentral. Lineage: Eukaryota; Fungi; Ascomycota; Dothideomycetes; Dothideales; Saccotheciaceae.
AGCGGAGGAAAAGAAACCAACAGGGAUUGCCCUAGUAACGGCGAGUGAAGCGGCAACAGCUCAAAUUUGAAAGCUGGCCUUCGGGUCCGCAUUGUAAUUUGUAGAGGAUGCUUUGAGGCAGCCGCCUGUCUAAGUUCCUUGGAACAGGACGUCAUAGAGGGUGAGAAUCCCGUAUGUGACAGGACGUGGCACCUUAUGUAAAGCUCCUUCGACGAGUCGAGUUGUUUGGGAAUGCAGCUCUAAAUGGGAGGUAAAUUUCUUCUAAAGCUAAAUACCGGCGAGAGACCGAUAGCGCACAAGUAGAGUGAUCGAAAGAUGAAAAGCACUUUGGAAAGAGAGUUAAAAAGCACGUGAAAUUGUUGAAAGGGAAGCGCUUGCAAUCAGACUUGUUCAAACCGUUCGGCCGGUCUUCUGACCGGUUUACUCGGUUUGGACAGGCCAGCAUCAGUUUUGGCGGCCGGAUAAAGGCCCUGGGAAUGUGGCUUCCACUUCGGUGGAAGUGUUAUAGCCCAGGGUGUAAUACGGCCAGCCGGGACUGAGGUCCGCGCUUCGGCUAGGAUGCUGGCGUAAUGGUUGUAAGCGACCCGUCUUGAAACACGGACCCAAA